Molecule: ribosomal RNA, 478 nt
Filed under: uncultured bacterium
Lineage: Bacteria
Description: bacterial SSU rRNA
Rfam family: Bacterial small subunit ribosomal RNA
Source: RNAcentral
ACUGCAUCCGAUACUGGCUAACUAGAGUGUGGGAGAGGAAGGUAGAAUUCCAGGUGUAGCGGUGAAAUGCGUAGAGAUCUGGAGGAAUACCGAUGGCGAAGGCAGCCUUCUGGCCUAACACUGACGCUGAGGUGCGAAAGCAUGGGGAGCAAACAGGAUUAGAUACCCUGGUAGUCCAUGCUGUAAACGAUGUCAACUAGCCGUUGGGGACCUUGAGUCUUUAGUGGCGCAGCUAACGCGAUAAGUUGACCGCCUGGGGAGUACGGUCGCAAGACUAAAACUCAAAUGAAUUGACGGGGGCCCGCACAAGCGGUGGAGCAUGUGGUUUAAUUCGAUGCAACGCGAAGAACCUUACCUGGCCUUGACAUGUCUGGAAUCCUGCAGAGAUGCGGGAGUGCCUUCGGGAAUCAGAACACAGGUGCUGCAUGGCUGUCGUCAGCUCGUGUCGUGAGAUGUUGGGUUAAGUCCCGCAACGAGC